AACCUAAGCCCCGCUCAUGCGGGGCAUGGUCUAAAAUCUCACGACGAUACUAAACCCUACGUUUAGCAACUCGUCGUGAGUCAUUUCCCGAAAGGGGCAUGUAGCCGCAAGGCUU
This 115-nucleotide small RNA is filed under the name unclassified sequences. RNAcentral describes it as "LOOT RNA". It matches the Rfam family "LOOT RNA". Rfam says of the family: Latescibacteria, OD1/Parcubacteria, OP11, TM7. The record is from Rfam by way of RNAcentral.